Molecule: transfer RNA, 77 nt
Filed under: Hydrogenimonas thermophila
Lineage: Bacteria; Pseudomonadati; Campylobacterota; Epsilonproteobacteria; Campylobacterales; Hydrogenimonadaceae
Also listed under: 2 other names
Description: tRNA-Met
Rfam family: tRNA
About the family: Transfer RNA (tRNA) molecules are approximately 80 nucleotides in length. Their secondary structure includes four short double-helical elements and three loops (D, anti-codon, and T loops).
Source: RNAcentral
CGCGGGAUAGAGCAGUUUGGUAGCUCGUCGGGCUCAUAACCCGAAGGUCGGGGGUUCAAAUCCCUCUCCCGCAACCA